Molecule: ribosomal RNA, 373 nt
Filed under: uncultured organism
Description: bacterial SSU rRNA
Rfam family: Bacterial small subunit ribosomal RNA
Source: RNAcentral
CAGAGGGCGCAAGCGUUGUUCGGAAUUACUGGGCGUAAAGCGCGCGUAGGCGGAUCUGUUUGUCCGUAAGUGAAAUCCCGCCGCUCAACGGCGGGGCUGCUUGGGAAACGGCAGGUCUGGGGACCGGUAGGGGUCGGUAGAAUUCCCGGUGUAGCGGUGGAAUGCGUAGAGAUCGGGAAGAAUACCCGUGGCGAGGGCGGCCGACUGGGCCGGAUCCGACGCUAAUGCGCGAAAGCGUGGGGAGCAAACAGGAUUAGAUACCCUGGUAGUCCACGCCGUAAACGAUGGGCACUAGGUGCCGGGGGGAGCGACCCCUUCGGUGCCGCAGCUAACGCGUUAAGUGCCCCGCCUGGGGAGUACGGCCGCAAGGCUG